Long non-coding RNA from Phacochoerus africanus (Common warthog), 1948 nucleotides. RefSeq lists it as uncharacterized. The record is from RefSeq and is a predicted model, not a curated record. The transcript is spliced from 4 exons. NCBI's taxonomy places the organism in Eukaryota, Metazoa, Chordata, Mammalia, Artiodactyla, Suidae.
CCUGCAACCUUGUGGUUCCUAGUUGGAUUCCUUUAUGCUGCUCCACGAUGGGAACGCCUCUAGAAGCUUUUCAAACCUGAAUCAGAUUGGACCCUUCCACCUGAGCUGCCUGAUCCACAUAUCAAACCAGCUUUGCAAAGUCCUGACCCAGAAAGGAGAGCCGUGGGGUCCAGUAUUGAAACUCUAAGCUCGGUCGAGUUGCUCACAAGGUCUCUGGCAUGUUCUGUUUCCCUCAAACAUUUCAAAUACCCUAUAGUGCCCCUGAGAGUCCUCUCUGGCCCGCUGCGUGUCUCAACGCACAGUCUGGGAAGCACGGGCCUAAUUAAUGCGAGUGUCCGUGGUUGGUCCCCAGUCUGGGUUGUGUUUUAAAGCUCUGUCCUCGGAGCCGUGUGUGCAGCUCAUCGUUCCCACCCAGGGGAAGGUACCCCAAAUCUGCCACAUUUUCCUGCCCAUUUCCCCAGAUGGACCCCCAGGCUGCCCCCGCCUCUCUGCCGUCACAGAUGACCCCGCCCUUGGGUGGGCUUGCGGGGCAAGGCUUUGUUCACCUGGAGCAGACCCGCGAGCCCUGUGCUUAGUCCGGAAGCCCAGCCCACGUCCCGCCGGGUCCCACCUUCUCAGUCCGCGUGGCCUUCGGCAGGUGUGUCAGUUGAAGAGGCACGAAGUGGUCUCCCAGCUGACGUGGCAUUUCUUUAGUCUCUGAAUUUGAGCAUCUUUGCAUGCUCUUCUUGGUUGGCUCCUCUUCCGUAACUGGCUGGGCAUACCCGUCAGACACUGGUCUCUGGGGGCUGCUGACCAUCAGAAACCGCUCGGCCAGAGUUCCUCGCACGUCCGAGGUAUGGAUCCCGCGAGGGUUUUACGCAUCAGAAGUGUCUUCUCCGUUCUGUCAUCUGGCCGACAUUUUGCUCACGGUUUCCCUUUGGGGAACAGCGAAUUUAAAUUCUGUGUUGAUUGACUCCAUCAUGUUUUUGCCUCUUGCUUUUCGCAGUUAAAUUUGGAGACAUGCUCCCCUGUCCUCUAUCCUAGUCUCCUGCAUGUCCUCCUGCCAGGUUUUUCUUCAGCGUUCGGGUCUUCGUGGGAUCCAGAGUCCGCCUCUGUGUGUGCUGCCAGGCGGGGAUCCGGGUCUUGCAUCAGGUUCAAGCAGAGGAGCAGAGCCAGUAAGGGUUCCGUGUGAAGAGACUUACUGCCCGUUGUUGCUGGUAUUAAAAGCUGCACCCAGAGGGAGAGACAGGGUGGCCACGGUGGUUCCAUCUCACUCAAAAUGGGAACGCAGGAGACGCCAAAGCAAAAGAACCACCAGGAACCCCUGUUCUGGAUUCGCUAAGUCCGCAGAACUGCCACACAGGCUUUCUCUUUACUGAGGCGCGUGUGGAUGAGGCGCCUUUUACUCGGGACCACUUGCAGGUUGGCUACAGGCACCCUGACAGUUCACCUGGCCACGUCCUCGUGCCUCCCGGGAGGAGGGGUCUGCGCGGCAGCAGUCGGCACUCGGAGCCCCCGCCGGCGUCCACGCGCCACCCUCCUGCCGUGCACCUGCAGGGUUGUACGGACUAGAAGCGAGAAGGUUCCAGGUGCUUCCUCAGCGGCUCUGAGUGAAUCAGCGCCCCCUCCUCUCUCUCUCUCUCACCCUUGCGUCUUAUGCUGUGGUUGGUUUGUAAUUUAAUCUCAUGUAUUAGGAAACGCUUUCAUUCCUAAACUUUGUCAUCGUUAUCAUCUGCAGUCUGUUUGCAGAUUUCCCCGGGGGUUUGCCGAGACUCCCGCCCUGCUUGCUUUCUUGCUUCUCUGACCUUCUAUCUGGGACCAGACUCUCCGCCCAGAGGGCAUCCUUCGGCAAGCCUGCUACCGUAAACUCUGUCUCUCUCCGUCUGACUGAAGACUUAUUUUAGGUCGGCAACUGUAUAACCUAUUGCUGCUGCAAGAAGUUGCCACAAAUUAAAGCAACACAGAUUUA